UACGGGGGGGGCAAGCGUUGUUCGGAAUUACUGGGCGUAAAGGGCUCGUAGGCGGCCAACUAAGUCAGACGUGAAAUCCCUCGGCUUAACCGGGGAACUGCGUCUGAUACUGGAUGGCUUGAGGUUGGGAGAGGGAUGCGGAAUUCCAGGUGUAGCGGUGAAAUGCGUAGAUAUCUGGAGGAACACCGGUGGCGAAGGCGGCAUCCUGGACCAAUUCUGACGCUGAGGAGCAAAAGCCAGGGGAGCAAACGGG
This 253-nucleotide ribosomal RNA is filed under the name uncultured bacterium. RNAcentral's name for it is "partial 16S ribosomal RNA". It matches the Rfam family "Bacterial small subunit ribosomal RNA", at positions 524 to 776 of the family's 1533-position model. The record is from RNAcentral.